Molecule: ribosomal RNA, 527 nt
Filed under: uncultured bacterium
Lineage: Bacteria
Description: bacterial SSU rRNA
Rfam family: Bacterial small subunit ribosomal RNA
Source: RNAcentral
UAGUCCUAGCUGUAAACGAUGAGCACUUGGUCGAGGGGACCUCCACAUCCUCUCGGCCGUAGCGAAAGUGUUAAGUGCUCCGCCUGGGGAGUAUGGUCGCAAGGCUAAAACUCAAAGGAAUUGACGGGGGCUUACACAAGCGGUGGAGGAUGUGGCUUAAUUCGAGGCUACGCGAAGAACCUUAUCCUGGUCUUGACAUGUUUAGGAAUCUUCCUGAAAGGGGAGAGUGCCUUCGGGAGCCUUUACACAGGUGCUGCAUGGCUGUCGUCAGCUCGUGCCGUGAGGUGUCGGGUUAAGUCCCUUAACGAGCGCAACCCCUAUCCUUAGUUACCAGCGGGUAAAGCCGGGGACUCUAGGGAGACUGCCGGUGUUAAACCGGAGGAAGGCGGGGACGACGUCAAGUCAUCAUGGUCCUUACGCCCAGGGCUACAAACGUGCUACAAUGGCUGGUACAAAGCGAAGCGAGACCGCGAGGUGGAGCAAAUCGCAGAAAGCCAGUCCCAGUUCGGAUUGCAGGCUGAAACUCG